RNAcentral lists this ribosomal RNA (407 nucleotides) under uncultured bacterium. Its description in RNAcentral is "bacterial SSU rRNA". It matches the Rfam family "Bacterial small subunit ribosomal RNA", at positions 355 to 776 of the family's 1533-position model. The record is from RNAcentral.
UGGGGAAUAUUGCACAAUGGGGGGAACCCUGAUGCAGCAACGCCGCGUGAAGGAUGAAGGUUCUCGGAUCGUAAACUUCUAUCAGUAGGGAAGAAAAAAAUGACAGUACCUAACUAAGAAGCCCCGGCUAACUACGUGCCAGCAGCCGCGGUAAUACGUAGGGGGCAAGCGUUAUCCGGAUUUACUGGGUGUAAAGGGUGCGUAGGUGGCAUGGUAAGUUAGAUGUGAAAGCCCAAGGCUCAACCUUGGGAUUGCAUCUAAAACUGCCAAGCUAGAGUGCAGGAGAGGAAAGUGGAAUUCCUAGUGUAGCGGUGAAAUGCGUAGAUAUUAGGAGGAACACCAGUAGCGAAGGCGACUUUCUGGACUGUAACUGACACUGAGGCACGAAAGCGUGGGUAGCAAACAGG